GUAGGGAAUAUUGGGCAAUGGAUGCAAGUCUGACCCAGCCAUCCCGCGUGCCGGAAGAAGGCCCUCAGGGUUGUAAACGGCUUUUGACGGUGAAGAAUCGACAGGAUGCGUCCUGUUUUGACGGUAGCCGUUGAAUAAGCACCGGCUAACUCCGUGCCAGCAGCCGCGGUAAUACGGAGGGUGCGAGCGUUGUCCGGAUUUAUUGGGUUUAAAGGGUGCGUAGGCUGGAAGGUCAGUCAGCGGUGAAAAGCUGUCGCUUAACGAUAGUCUUGCCGCAGAUACUUCCUUUCUUGGAUGAGGAGGAGGCCACUGGAACGGAUGGUGUAGCGGUGAAAUGCAUAGAUAUCAUCCAGAACACCGAUUGCGAAGGCAGGUGGCUGUACCUUAAUCGACGCUGAUGCACGAAAGCAUGGGGAGCAAACAGGAUUAGAAACCCCAGAGUCC
This 444-nucleotide ribosomal RNA is filed under the name uncultured bacterium. RNAcentral's name for it is "partial 16S ribosomal RNA". It matches the Rfam family "Bacterial small subunit ribosomal RNA", at positions 354 to 796 of the family's 1533-position model. The record is from RNAcentral.